Molecule: long non-coding RNA, 2274 nt
Filed under: Volvox carteri
Lineage: Eukaryota; Viridiplantae; Chlorophyta; Chlorophyceae; Chlamydomonadales; Volvocaceae
Description: long non-coding RNA (VCAR_LNC001333)
Source: RNAcentral
GAAAGGCCGCGGUGUGCCAGCGCGUUGCGCAGAAGGGCAUGUCGGCCACAGUCGCACGCGGUACGCAGUCCGGAAAUGUGGGUGGCUGCUUUGCCGGAACUGAAAGCACCGAAAGCAAACAACGUAGCUUGCAAGACUGGGCUCAUGAAACGGCCGCGGGAAGAGGAAGCGUUGGGCGAAGCGGCACUUUUGUGAAGCAAAAUGUUCCGACUAAUGUCAAAAAAAUACAAACUGACGCAAUAAAUAUAACAUACACAGAAUUAAACAAAAGAACACAUAAGUCGUUCAGAGCCGUGUAAGUAACAUGGACGCCGCUGAUGGCUUGGAACAGCUUUUUGGAACAGCCGAUACCGACACCAGCGUUUUGGGUGGUAUGCUGCUCCUUACAAGGACUGCUCGUAGCGUGCUCGGUUGAAUGCUCGGUAGCUGAGAGGGCUGAUGUUCGUUCCAAGAAGUGAACUGAGGACUGAUGCUACACGUCAUGUAUACGCGUUGCUUAGCUUGCAACGUGACGCGCCCACGAUGAAAGGUAUGCACGUAAAUUCGCCCGUGGGCCGAACGCCUUGUAACACGCUUCAACUACACUCACAAUACAAUAUACUGCUGCACUAUUCUCUCCAGUCCUGCCACAUUAUGUUUCACCGACGUACUUCGGCACCUUCCACAUCUAUAGACUUUGCGAACGCGGUCAGCUGCUUCACCAGGACCCCCAUAUUUGGAAUCAGCCUCCUUGUGUGAAACUUAAUAAUCCAUGGUUGCCGGGUAGUAGGGGGUACCGUACAACGGGGGUUCCGUACAACCCAGUCCUUCAAACCCGGCUUAAACACCCUUGCAUAGCAAACAGGCCGCCAGUAAGUGCAAGGGAAUGCAGUUAUAAACCUUUUAACCACAGGGCUUCGAAAAAGCUUUUACGCGGGAAAAGGGCGCGUACUAACUAGGUAACUAACUAAAGCCCCCGACGUUCUGGGAUGUACUCCCACAGUUGUCACUUGCAGAUCCAUUGGCCGGGCCCUCCUUGCCCUCCCACGCACAACUUGACGUCUAGCCGUACAGCAGUCACGCAAACAUUUUCUACCUGCUCAAGAGUGACCUUAACGACCCCUCCACUGCAGGUUCUUUCGCUUGCCGGGAGAGUCAAGGAGUGUAUGUAAGGCCGUUGAAAGCGGUCACGGUCAGGCCUGCGUGUUUUGAAGGAUGCACAUCACUGGCGUGCUGGUUCCAGAUUUGGAGCGAUCCGCAAGGAGAGGAAUCUAUUCAAGUGUAUACCUGUGCUCACGCUUCCAAGCCCAUGAUUGCAAGAAACUGGAGACGUUGUCUUUGGGCUCGGCAGGCUCAGCGGCCGGCGUUGGCUCAGCCCGAGCUCUCUUCGUUUUAGGUUCUUGCAUUUUUCAUUUGUUAUUCAGUGCGAGAUUCGUUUGCUAUUUAGAGUCAUGUGGUUGCAUUCAUUCGACCCUGGCCCUCAUCGUCCUAAAACGAGCAAGAACUUGGUGAACGUCAUUUAGGUGAAAGGGUGCAGGGCAAAAUGCCCCUUCUAGCUAUGCGAGUGUAGAAGCAGGCCAGAAGCAUGCAUCCCUUGUACGACGCUUACUAACACAAGCAGCGAGCAUCAUGCCGGAUAUUAUGAGAUUGCGAAGCUUGUACAGUGCAGCAAAUGCAGACCAUUUUUAUGCAUAUUGAUUUCUCGCGGCUUAGCCUGGCACUUGUCCUUAUGCAUGAGGAUUAUCGACACAGCAUCAUCGCAGCGGCCAACGCUGGCAUAGCUGACAGCUAUACGAACGGAAAGAUUCACGAUGUUUGCUUUGCAUCGUUUUCAGCGAUCAGCGAACGCAACUACCUCAAGUUAUACUUAUUUUGGAAGCAGUUAGUUGCAGCACCAUGUGGGAAGCCAGGGAAGUCGAGACGGCUUUGGAAUCGGCACUCCUGCCGGUUGGCACUUGGGACUCGGCAGCGCAAGCAUUGCAUAUACAAGCACGAGGAUAAGGCCCUGCCAUAAACCUCUUUCAUAGGUUAUCAUGCAAAGGGAAGGCGCGCGGGCGGCAAACUCGAUAUCUAUGGCUGCAUCCCCGCGUACAAAAUUCCGGGAGGGCAAAAUCAAGGAAAAUCGCUGAUAAUGGGGAGACCUGCCAGCUCCCCGUGAAAAUGAUGCUACUUUCUUUAUUUGCGUAGCCUGGCGUAGCCUGGCGUAGCCACGGAAAACUGUAUAUCAGCUCUCGAUCUCAUAUAAUAUAUAGCCGCAGAAAGCAAUCAACCCACGGGCGUCAGAUCGACAAAGAG